Vulpes vulpes (red fox) is the source of this 104-nucleotide small nuclear RNA. The record is from Ensembl. Lineage: Eukaryota; Metazoa; Chordata; Mammalia; Carnivora; Canidae.
GUGUUCAUUUCAACAGCACAUAAACUAAAAUUGGAAUGAUACAGAGAUUAGCAUGACCCCUGUGUACAGAUUACAUGAAAAUUUGUGAAGCAGUCCAUAUUUUU